GCAUUAGCAGUUCAGUGGUAGAAUGCUUGCCUUCCAUGCGGGAGACCUGGGUGCGAUUCCUGGCCACCGCA
Molecule: transfer RNA, 71 nt
Filed under: Loxodonta africana (African savanna elephant)
Lineage: Eukaryota; Metazoa; Chordata; Mammalia; Proboscidea; Elephantidae
Rfam family: tRNA
About the family: Transfer RNA (tRNA) molecules are approximately 80 nucleotides in length.
Source: Rfam by way of RNAcentral